GAUGAAGAACGUAGCGAAAUGCGAUAAGUAAUGUGAAUUGCAGAAUUCAGUGAAUCAUCGAAUCUUUGAACGCAUCUUGCGCUCCCUGGUAUUCCGAGGAGCAUGCCUGUUUGAGUGUCAUCUAAAUCCUCAAACCACAUUGAUUCUUUCGGUGUGGCUUUGGAAGUGGGGGUAGUGUUUGCAGGUUUUAUCUUAAGUCUGCUCCCCUGAAAUGCAUUAGUGGUAUCUGAGCAGAAGGAACUACUACAGGUGUGAUAAUUUAUCUAUGCCUUAGUAUACUGCAUAAAACAGAUUACACUGCUUAAAACAAACUUUAUUUCUUUUUUUUGGAGACCUCAAAUCAGGUAGGACUACCCGCUGAACUUAAGCAUAUCAAUAAGCGGAGGA
This 387-nucleotide unclassified non-coding RNA is filed under the name soil metagenome. RNAcentral's name for it is "partial contains 5.8S ribosomal RNA, internal transcribed spacer 2, and large subunit ribosomal RNA". The stretch from base 1 to 120 matches the Rfam family "5.8S ribosomal RNA", at positions 35 to 154 of the family's 154-position model. The record is from RNAcentral.